Cyprinus carpio (common carp) is the source of this 967-nucleotide long non-coding RNA. RefSeq lists it as uncharacterized. NCBI's taxonomy places the organism in Eukaryota, Metazoa, Chordata, Actinopteri, Cypriniformes, Cyprinidae. The transcript is spliced from 2 exons. The record is from RefSeq and is a predicted model, not a curated record.
GUUUAUGUCUACACCCUGUGCUAUGUGUGAGUCCCUGUUUGAAGAUAAUUAAAUUCUGUGGUUUGUACUCCUGGUCUCCUUGAUCCUUGAUGUGCUCCUCACAGUAGCAUACCUGUGACUGAAUACCGGACCAAAUCAAAAAUGGAGAAAUGAGUGAGAUUCAUAGCCGUGGCCCAAGUGAGCCCCAACCCCAUCAUCUUCCUGAGGGCGUUUGUGCUGCUGACGCUGUUCUGGAUCGGGCUAACUUCAUCCCACGGAGCUCCCAGACACCACCAACCUCGACUGGAAGGAGACAGUCAUCCGGUGUCUGGAUAGUCUCCAAUCCCGAUCCGGAACCACUCCACCGGCUGGUCCCUAGUCAAGUCAGCUGUCUGUGGCUCACCCAUGCCCGCCGCCAUCAUCCGCGUCCAGAGCUCACUCCAGUGUUGGCUCCUGCCACAAAACUCACUCCAGUGCCAGCUCCUCGAAAGUGCUUUGCUGUGCCUGUUCCUCCAGUGCACCCUACAGUGCCAGCACCACGUAAGCGCAUCCCGAUCCCGAGUUAAGCCCAGGGAGGGCUCCUAUUUCUCCAGUUCAGCCCAGGAGGGGCUCCUGUGCCUGAGUAUAGCCCAUGGAGGGCUCCCGAUCCCCAGUUCAGCCCAGGAGGGGCUCCCGGUUCCCGAGUAUAGCCCAUUGAGGGGCUCCUGAUCCCCUGUUAAGCCCAGGGAGGGCUUUUGAUCUCCCAUUAAGCCCAGGGAGGGUUCCAGGCCCCGAGUUCAGACCCGUAAGUUCCCCCAAGUAUUUUUGGGGGGUUGGGGGUAGUAGGGAUCCAGCUGUAGAGGCUGAGGCAUGCAUGGGGGCCUCCCGAGUCUCCAGAUCCGCCAUGGCCUCCCGCGUCUCCUGAUCUGCCAUGGCCUCCUAUCAUUUGUCUACACCCUGUGCUACGUGUGAUUCCCUGUGUGAAGAUAAUUAAAUUCUGUGGUUUGUA